This 380-nucleotide long non-coding RNA is filed under the name Nicotiana benthamiana. Its description in RNAcentral is "long non-coding RNA (NBEN_LNC029115)". Lineage: Eukaryota; Viridiplantae; Streptophyta; Magnoliopsida; Solanales; Solanaceae. The record is from RNAcentral.
UCUGUAUGACAGGAAACAUGUUUAUCAAAAGAUACACUAACAGAUUGAUUUGCUGAGACUUGCUCAGUUGUCCUAACCACAUUUGGACUUUUAAUCUGACCUCCCAUAUAGGGAAAACCAGAAAGAGAUUCAAAUGCUGGAGAAAGGUUUCCGGGCAUUGUGUGCAUAGACGUUUCAUUAUUGCUACUUCCUGGAAUACCAAAUCUAUUAUUCCUCAACCCUUCCUGGGAGAGGUCGGAAGGUACAUAGAAGUUUCAUUAUUGCUACUUCCUGGAAUACCAAAUCUAUUAUUCUUCAGACCUUCCUGGGAGAGGUCAGAAGAUGGAAGUAAGGAUUGAGCCUGAUGAAUUAGACCUUGAUUCUUCUCACCAGUGUCAACA